Molecule: non-coding RNA, 390 nt
Organism: Pelobates cultripes (western spadefoot toad)
Lineage: Eukaryota; Metazoa; Chordata; Amphibia; Anura; Pelobatidae
Source: the annotation of a GenBank genome assembly
CCCCAAUAAUGAGACGACACUUCACUUUGAGGGUUAAGCAGGAACUCUCUGUAAUGGCCACACACUGGCUUUUAUGCAAGUCCCCAUGCAAGGGGACAUCUCACAGGGUGGGACACAGUACAACCAAUCGUUUACAGGGGAACCGUAAAACACACCCACAAUUACAUCACAAUCCCUCCUCUCUGUCCUGGAGAUAAUUGUGAAGUAAUCAAAUUAUCUCCAAGGACAGAGGCAAAACUCCAUUAACCACAUGGCAGACAAAGGACAAUAAAAGACAUAAAAUUACAUACAGUUACAUUUAUUCCAUAAAACAUAGACAUUCUACAUAUCCCCAGAUAGCUUAGAUCUGAGUGCACAUUACUACCGAAUGGCGCUCAGAUCACAUACAUA